UACGUAGGGUGCGAGCGUUGUCCGGAAUUAUUGGGCGUAAAGAGCUUGUAGGCGGUUUGUCGCGUCUGCUGUGAAAAUCCGGGGCUCAACCCCGGACUUGCAGUGGGUACGGGCAGACUAGAGUGUGGUAGGGGAGACUGGAAUUCCUGGUGUAGCGGUGGAAUGCGCAGAUAUCAGGAGGAACACCAGCGGCGAAGGCGGCGCUCUGGGCCGGAACUGACGCUGAGGAGCGAAAGCGUGGGUAGCAAACAGG
This 253-nucleotide ribosomal RNA is filed under the name uncultured bacterium. RNAcentral's name for it is "partial 16S ribosomal RNA". It matches the Rfam family "Bacterial small subunit ribosomal RNA", at positions 524 to 776 of the family's 1533-position model. The record is from RNAcentral.